UAUNGCACAAUGGAGGAAACUCUGAUGCAGUNACACCGCGUAUAGGAAGACGGUUUUCGGCUUGUAAACUAUUUUCGACAGGGAAGAAAAAAGACAGUACCUGUAGAAUAAGCUCCGGCUAACUACGUGCCAGCAGCCGCGGUAAUACGUAGGGAGCAAGCGUUAUCCGGAAUCAUUGGGUGUAAAGGGUGCGUAGACGGGACAGCAAGUUAGUUGUGAAAGCCCUCGGCUUAACUGAGGAACUGCAACUAAAACUAUUGUUCUGGAGUGCAGGAGAAGAAAGCGGAAUUCCUAGUGUAGCGGUGAAAUGCGUAGAUAUUAGGAGGAACACCAGUGGCGAAGGCGGCUUUCUGGACUGUAACUGACGUUGAGGCACGAAAGUGUGGGGAGCAAACAGG
RNAcentral lists this ribosomal RNA (398 nucleotides) under uncultured bacterium. Its description in RNAcentral is "bacterial SSU rRNA". It matches the Rfam family "Bacterial small subunit ribosomal RNA", at positions 362 to 776 of the family's 1533-position model. The record is from RNAcentral.